RNAcentral lists this ribosomal RNA (637 nucleotides) under Enterobacter sp. DX50. Its description in RNAcentral is "bacterial SSU rRNA". It matches the Rfam family "Bacterial small subunit ribosomal RNA", at positions 853 to 1490 of the family's 1533-position model. The record is from RNAcentral. Lineage: Bacteria; Pseudomonadati; Pseudomonadota; Gammaproteobacteria; Enterobacterales; Enterobacteriaceae.
UAACGCGUUAAGUCGACCGCCUGGGGAGUACGGCCGCAAGGUUAAAACUCAAAUGAAUUGACGGGGGCCCGCACAAGCGGUGGAGCAUGUGGUUUAAUUCGAUGCAACGCGAAGAACCUUACCUACUCUUGACAUCCAGAGAACUUUCCAGAGAUGGUUUGGUGCCUUCGGGAACUCUGAGACAGGUGCUGCAUGGCUGUCGUCAGCUCGUGUUGUGAAAUGUUGGGUUAAGUCCCGCAACGAGCGCAACCCUUAUCCUUUGUUGCCAGCGGUUAGGCCGGGAACUCAAAGGAGACUGCCAGUGAUAAACUGGAGGAAGGUGGGGAUGACGUCAAGUCAUCAUGGCCCUUACGAGUAGGGCUACACACGUGCUACAAUGGCGCAUACAAAGAGAAGCGACCUCGCGAGAGCAAGCGGACCUCAUAAAGUGCGUCGUAGUCCGGAUUGGAGUCUGCAACUCGACUCCAUGAAGUCGGAAUCGCUAGUAAUCGUAGAUCAGAAUGCUACGGUGAAUACGUUCCCGGGCCUUGUACACACCGCCCGUCACACCAUGGGAGUGGGUUGCAAAAGAAGUAGGUAGCUUAACCUUCGGGAGGGCGCUUACCACUUUGUGAUUCAUGACUGGGGUGAAGUCGUA